This 769-nucleotide ribosomal RNA is filed under the name uncultured Pseudoalteromonadaceae bacterium. RNAcentral's name for it is "bacterial SSU rRNA". It matches the Rfam family "Bacterial small subunit ribosomal RNA", at positions 28 to 776 of the family's 1533-position model. Lineage: Bacteria; Pseudomonadati; Pseudomonadota; Gammaproteobacteria; Alteromonadales; Pseudoalteromonadaceae. The record is from RNAcentral.
AUUGAACGCUGGCGGCAGGCCUAACACAUGCAAGUCGAGCGGAAACGAGUUAUCUGAACCUUCGGGGAAUGAUAACGGCGUCGAGCGGCGGACGGGUGAGUAAUGCCUAGGAAAUUGCCCUGAUGUGGGGGAUAACCAUUGGAAACGAUGGCUAAUACCGCAUGAUGCCUACGGGCCAAAGAGGGGGACCUUCGGGCCUCUCGCGUCAGGAUAUGCCUAGGUGGGAUUAGCUAGUUGGUGAGGUAAGGGCUCACCAAGGCAACGAUCCCUAGCUGGUCUGAGAGGAUGAUCAGCCACACUGGAACUGAGACACGGUCCAGACUCCUACGGGAGGCAGCAGUGGGGAAUAUUGCACAAUGGGCGCAAGCCUGAUGCAGCCAUGCCGCGUGUAUGAAGAAGGCCUUCGGGUUGUAAAGUACUUUCAGCAGUGAGGAAGGCGGGUACGUUAAUAGCGUGCUCGUUUGACGUUAGCUGCAGAAGAAGCACCGGCUAACUCCGUGCCAGCAGCCGCGGUAAUACGGAGGGUGCGAGCGUUAAUCGGAAUUACUGGGCGCAAAGCGCAUGCAGGUGGUUUGUUAAGUCAGAUGUGAAAGCCCGGGGCUCAACCUCGGAAUAGCAUUUGAAACUGGCAGACUAGAGUACUGUAGAGGGGGGUAGAAUUUCAGGUGUAGCGGUGAAAUGCGUAGAGAUCUGAAGGAAUACCGGUGGCGAAGGCGGCCCCCUGGACAGAUACUGACACUCAGAUGCGAAAGCGUGGGGAGCAAACAGG